UACGUAGGGCGCAAGCGUUGUCCGGAAUUAUUGGGCGUAAAGAGCUCGUAGGCGGCCUGUUACGUCUGCUGUGAAAUCCCGGGGCUUAACCCCGGGCGUGCAGUGGAUACGGGCAGGCUGGAGGCAGGCAGGGGAGAACGGAAUUCCUGGUGUAGCGGUGAAAUGCGCAGAUAUCAGGAGGAACACCGGUGGCGAAGGCGGGUCUCUGGGCCGAUACUGACACUGAGGAGCGAAAGCGUGGGGAGCGAACAGG
Molecule: ribosomal RNA, 253 nt
Filed under: uncultured bacterium
Lineage: Bacteria
Description: partial 16S ribosomal RNA
Rfam family: Bacterial small subunit ribosomal RNA
Source: RNAcentral